AGACAGGAACACUUUGUUUAUAAUCUCCAUAACACAGAGUUAAAGAUUAAGAUUUGAUGGAAAAAUCACAAAAUAUAUCAUAGCUAUAUAUUUUUGGCAAUCAUAAAAAAAAUGAUUAUUAAGAAAAUUGUUAACUUUAUAAAAUUGUAAGAUAUUUAGCGUGAAGCACAUUUUAGUUGGUGUGAAUUUUAAGUGAAUUUCAACAAUAUUUUGGACUCCAACAAAUACUAAUUUCCUAAAUGAUCUAUUAUUAGAAGAGUAUAUAGACUAGUGUGUGUAAUUAGUCUUGGAGGAUUAAUAUAGUAGACAUUUAAUGACGGGAUCCCCCGGGGGGAUAUCGACAGUGAUAUUGACAGCAUUACGACAAGCGACCAUUGACUAUUACACCUGUCUGACAGGUAAAUCAUUGUGGAUCUAACAGGUCCAUUAGGGCCAGCAAACACCUUAAUGAUUGUCUGCCUGUCAAAUCUCACCUGAGCUACCAGGUAGGAGAUUCUUAGAUCUGGGUUGUUUUUGUGUAUGUCACAACAGCUUACUGAAUUUUACAGGUACGAGGGAUUUGACAGUUGAUACUGAGUCUUGGGAGGGAAAUUUAAUUGUUUCAUUAAUUACUUCGGAUUACGUGAUAAACAGAUGUGGAAAAUUGGACUGUCUGUUUUAGAGAAAAAUGAAUUUCUUGAACAUUCGACAUUGCUCAGAUUCGUGAGACAGUAUUAUCUCCAUACAUCACCACUGGAACCAGUUAACGGAAGGAACCAAUUUACUCCACGUCUGUUAGGGACCCAUUGAUUUUACUUAUUCACUGAAAUUUUUCUAUAUUCGGAAUUCUGCUUUCAGCUGUGAUCUUCUGUAAAUAAAUCAUCAGGGUCUAUGUAACAAGUAUACUGUUUUACUCGGUACCCAGACAAAUUUUAUUACACACAAUUACCACUUAGGUCGUGGGGGGAGAAAUCAAUACCAACACUUGGAAUUAUAGAGAAAAAAAAAACAUCAUCCCAAAUGGAGACAACAUUUUCUGAUUGUGUCUGAAACAAUUAGAGCUGGAUGCUCCAGUGGUUGUAUGCCAUCAAUUAUGUCCACUGAAUUUGUUGUUUUCAUCAUCAAACUCGAAUCAAUAGUGCAGUGUUUCAUUUAUUUUAAACUUAAAUCCCGUUUUUUUCUACAGUUGAAUUGAUUUUUAAUGUGUAUUGCAAAGUAAUUAAGUUGGGAGUUCAUUAGACUGCAUUGCAAGGGGAAAAACAACAUAAUGGUUAAUCGCCUGUAAAGUACAUGCAUUAGUCAUUUAAAUUAAGACAACUUUGCUGGUUGGUCUUGCAAUAAGAACUGUCAGUAUAUAUUGAGAGUUCUGUGUCGUAAUUUCUGAGGUGGAGAGAGUAAUUGUCACUUUCAGUUUGCAAGUCAUUUCAGAUGUAGCUUUGAUGAAAUUUACUGCUGGAAAACAACCCAAAUUGUAUCUGUAUCGUCUUAAUGACAAACGUCUAAGAUCAUUCAUCAGGUUUGGCUCUUGAAGGAAACCCAAUAGAUUUUUUCCCUCCUUCUCUGCCUAUAAGUUCUUUUCCUAGGUCUAGGCGUCGUAAUAUAAGCAGCUCGAGUCGCCUCGAGAUGUUGCCGCAAAGAGAAGGAGCUGUGAUUACUCGUCAGGAUGCAGCACUUUUAAUAUUGUUCAUGAAUUUCCUGGGCUUCGGCAGAGAGACAUCAAUCAAAAUUUAUACACAGAAAUUUAUCACCCACGACCACUCGCUCGCUGUCGCCCUGAUUACAUAUAAAUCGCACAGAAUUCAUUUUUGCCAAAUUAUCGCUUGCCACUGCUGGUGAAAAUCUGACAAUCGUUGGUCAAUUUGGCCAUCGAUUCUGUCGGCGAGUCCUGACUAUGUGCUUGCAUCAUUAACUUUUUUUGGCCUGUGCGAGAUUUUCUUUUCCACGGUGAGAUCUGAGAUUAACACAAUAAUUGUGUAGAUAUCUCGGGAGUCAUAAGACGCGCAGACAGGUUUGGAUGGAGUUCCGUGCCUUUGAAAGGCACUGGAUCCAAUCAAGUGGCAGAGAUCAUCGAGCUCCUAAUGAAUUUAAAAUCACCCCUCAAUCACCCAUUACAGAGUAAUACUACCAGGAAAAGAUCGGAAUUAAGACAUAAAUAACAGGUCCUAAAGGAUGGACUCAAAAACCUAAAUAAUCAUUCUGAAUAAUAGAGUACUGAUCACACCCAACCUAACACCAGAGUAAACUCCAACUAAACCACGGGUUUACUUUUGGGGUUUUUUGGGGGGUUUACUCUGGGUUUGUUUUUUGAAACUUUGGGUUCACUCUGGGUUUUCUUUGGGUUUACUUGGAAAUUGCUUUUGAGGUCAACUGUGCUCACUGAAGUGUGAAGCAGACCUGUCGUUUAUCUUGCCAUCAUACUGCCUGUAAUUCCUGCCCCAUGUAUAUUCCAAAUACACAUGUAGCGUCUGCAUUCAGGGUAUACUUCUGACCGGGUUUACUCUCUGUGUCCACUCUGGGUUUACUCUAGGUCCACUCUAGUAAACCCAGAGUAAACCCAGAAAGUAAACCCAGGGUUUAGUUUGGGUUUACUUUCUGUUAGGUUGAGUCUGAUUGGUACUGACAGUUAAGUAUGGUUUACAUGUACAUGCAUCUAGAAAGCUUGUGUGCCAGAUAAUAUAUAUUUCUAAUACACUGAAAAAUUGUGAUUAGCCAAGAAUAAAGAUGUGAAUGGGGUACUACCACACUUAAUAAAAAUUUAUAUCCAUCGCCUUUAAUUUUAAGUACCCAUAACUUUGCCAUUGUUAAUAGAUUGCAGAGGUAAUUUUCACUAAUGAACUUCAUCAAACAGAGCUUGCUCCAAAAGGAUUAAGUUUAAAAGCUUUUUUAAUCCUAAUGGAGUCUUAGAGAUCCAGCCAGGUACCCAGGGUAGGAUGCUCUCAGACUUGUUAACAGAGUUUCUCCUGCAUCCACUGAACUGACAAAUUGCAAUUUUCUGCCUGGUGGGGAUGUUUUAUCCCAGAAACAAUGGCUUUGAUUCAUGCUCGGUGAGACCAGAGAGCAGCCAUUUUUACUCCCCUGUCUCAGCACUACCAUCCCUGACUCCUAUCAGGGUCAUUCUUGUCUUGUAAGAUAAUGUGAUUUUUCAACAGAUUGUAUUUCAUCAAAUGGAAUCAAGUUGUGACAAGGCUGUCGGUGGAAUCUUUGAUUGCUUCUAAGUGCUCAGCGGAAGCGUGUCCUUAUUGCAGCGGAAUG
Molecule: long non-coding RNA, 3231 nt
Organism: Magallana angulata
Lineage: Eukaryota; Metazoa; Mollusca; Bivalvia; Ostreida; Ostreidae
Exons: 2
Source: RefSeq, a predicted model, not a curated record